AUUUAUGUCUUCAGCCUGCCUAGGUUAUUUGAUGCUAUCCUACUUUAACAGUUUAUACUCUUGUUUCCUUUUUCUCAAUUUGUCUCUUCCCCUUUGUAUUCUUUUUUUUUAAUAAUUUAUUUCAAUCUCCACCUCAAGCCUAAUUUUUAAUAUUUACACUUUCAUCGUAUCUCUCUCCUCUCUCUGUUAAAAAUAAAAUAGAGAUAUGUAUAAAAUUUUUUGUUUUCACCUCCAUACACUAUACAGAAAUAUCAAUUUUCUAAUCACAUGUCUAAAUUCUAACCGCUUCAUAAUUUUCCUGCACCUCCUGCACUGAAACAGCACAUGUUCGGUCGUAUAGUACCAAGUGGCGUAUUUUUAGGUUAAAUACAAAUAACAGAUCAUUCUACUAACAAAAUGACAUCAAAUCUGUGAGGUGCAUAUUGAUUUGUGCAUUUUAUUUUACUCAUAUCUACGGGAUUAGAACAUGUACAAAACUUGAAUCUGCCGAGAUAUUCAAGGUGUUGUGCUUGCAACAAUGCCACUGAUACUGAUAACUGGCAUUCCCAGCAGCGGAAAAACAACGAGAAGCUUAGAAUUAAAGGAGUAUUUUGAAAAACGAUUCCAGGAUAGACGGAAGGUAGAAAUAAUCAGCGAAUAUGACACAAUAAUUAAGACAGGCUAUGAUAAAAAUACAUUUUAUGCCGACUCUAAGAAAGAGAAGAUUGUUAGAAGCAGUUUAAAAUCGGACCUUCAACGCCAAAUAGAUACACAUGAUCUAUCGAUAUUUGACGGCAGCAAUUACAUCAAAGGAUAUCGAUACGAGAUCUACUGCAUGACUAAAUUAUAUAAGACUCCACAGUGCACAUUACAUUGCGAUAUACCAGUGGAACAUGCUUGGCUGUUGAACGAAAAACGUGUCGAGUCUGAACGAUAUAACAGGGAGAUAUUCGACGCGCUUGUAGCGAGAUAUGAAACACCAAACGGUGGAAAUCGAUGGGACGCUCCACUCUUUGCAGUUACACCAGAGGAUGAAUUGAUGUAUGAUGAAAUUUAUAGGUCGCUCUAUGAAAUCGCUUCACCAAAACCAAAUCAAAGCACACAAUGCGCACCGCUAGCAGCCACAAAUUAUCUGUACGAAUUGGAUAGAAUAACGCAAGAUGUGAUAAAUGCAAUAUUGUCGGCAAAAAAAAUGGGAAUAAACAAUGAUAUAAAGAUACCGGGCUGCAAUGCGACCGUUGAAAAAUCUGGAACCGCACCACAACUUAUGAGAUUACGGAGGCAGUUUUUGACUUACAGUAAAAUGCAACAGAGCGGAAUCGAUCAGAUCGCCGCAUUAUUCGUACAAUAUCUCAACAAAAAUUUGUAACAAAACGGAAAAAUUAGAUGUAUAUAUAUAUAUAUAUAUAUUUCUUUAAUUUUCUGCUAUUUCAGAAUUUUAUGAAUAUAUAGGAUGAUACAAUAUGUCGCUCAUACAACGUACAACUGUACAAUGAGAAUCAUCGGUAAAGGAAAGACCAGAUAUUGUCCCGAAUUAUGAUAUACCGAUCGAUCCCAAUAAACGAUUCCUUUAGUUGUGGCAAA
Molecule: RNA transcript, 1563 nt
Organism: Ooceraea biroi (clonal raider ant)
Lineage: Eukaryota; Metazoa; Arthropoda; Insecta; Hymenoptera; Formicidae
Gene name: protein KTI12 homolog
Source: RefSeq, a predicted model, not a curated record